Molecule: ribosomal RNA, 326 nt
Filed under: uncultured eukaryote
Lineage: Eukaryota
Description: partial 18S ribosomal RNA
Rfam family: Eukaryotic small subunit ribosomal RNA
Source: RNAcentral
CCCUUAGAUGUUCUGGGCCGCACGCGCGCUACACUGAUGCAUUCAACGAGUCCAACCUUGACCGAGAGGUCCGGGUAAUCUUUGAAACUGCAUCGUGAUGGGGCUAGAUUAUUGCAAUUAUUAAUCUUCAACGAGGAAUGCCUAGUAAGCGUGAUUCAUCAAAUCGCGUUGAUUACGUCCCUGCCCUUUGUACACACCGCCCGUCGCUCCUACCGAUUGAGUGUGUUGGUGAGGAGUUUGGAUUGGCCUCGGAAGGUGGUUCGCCACCGUCCGUAGCUGAGAAGUUCUCCAAACCGCCCCACUUAGAGGAAGGAGAANUCGUAACA